Molecule: ribosomal RNA, 838 nt
Filed under: uncultured archaeon
Lineage: Archaea
Description: bacterial SSU rRNA
Rfam family: Archaeal small subunit ribosomal RNA
Source: RNAcentral
UUCCGGUUGAUCCUGCCAGAGGUCACUGCUAUCGGGGUUCGAUUAAGCCAUGCGAGUCGAGAGGGUUCGGCCCUCGGCGUACUGCUCAGUAACACGUGGAUAACCUGCCCUAGGGGAGGGGAUAACCCCGGGAAACUGGGGAUAAUACCCUAUAGGUUACAGAUGCUGGAAUGCCCUGUAACCAAAAGCUCCGGCGCCCUAGGAUGGAUCUGCGGCCGAUUAGGUUGUUGUUGGGGUAACGGCCCAACAAGCCCGUAAUCGGUACGGGUUGUGGGAGCAAGAGCCCGGAGUUGAAUUCUGAGACACGAAUCCAGGCCCUACGGGGCGCAGCAGGCGCGAAACCUUUACAAUGCGGGCAACCGUGAUAAGGGAACCUCGAGUGCCUGUAAACGCAGGCUGUUCAGGUGUUUAAAACGCACCUGGAGAAAGGGCCGGGCAAGACCGGUGCCAGCCGCCGCGGUAAUACCGGCGGCUCGAGUGGUGGCCGCUUUUAUUGGGCUUAAAGCGCUCGUAGCUGGGUUGUUAAGUCUCUUGGGAAAUCUGGCGGCUUAACCGUCAGGCGUCUAAGGGAUACUGGCAAUCUUGGAACCGGGAGAGGUGAGGGGUACUUCGGGGGUAGGGGUGAGAUCCUGUAAUCCUCGAGGGACCACCUGUGGCGAAGGCGCCUCACCAGAACGGCUUCGACAGUGAGGGACGAAAGCUGGGGGAGCAAACCGGAUUAGAUACCCGGGUAGUCCCAGCCGUAAACGAUGCGCGUUAGGUGUAUCUGGUGACCACGAGUUACCGAGGUGCCGAGGGAAACCGUGAAAACGCGCCGCCCGGNAAUACGGUCCGCCAG